ACGAACGCUGGCGGCAGGCCUAACACAUGCAAGUCGAGCGAGUGUAGCAAUACACGAGCGGCGCACGGGUGAGUAGCGCGUGGGAAUCUACCCUGUGGUGGGGGACAACCUCGGGAAACUGAGGCUAAUACCGCAUACGUCCUUCGGGAGAAAGACUUCGGUCGCCAUAGGAGGAGCCCGCGUCCGAUUAGCUAGUUGGUGAGGUAAUGGCUCACCAAGGCGACGAUCGGUAGCUGGUCUGAGAGGACGGCCAGCCACACUGGGACUGAGACACGGCCCAGACUCCUACGGGAGGCAGCAGUGGGGAGUAUUGGACAAUGGGGGAAACCCUGAUCCAGCCAUGCCGCGUGAGUGAUGAAGGCCUUCGGGUUGUAAAGCUCUUUUAGCGGGGAAGAUAAUGACGGUACCCGCAGAAUAAGCCCCGGCUAACUUCGU
RNAcentral lists this ribosomal RNA (435 nucleotides) under uncultured bacterium. Its description in RNAcentral is "bacterial SSU rRNA". It matches the Rfam family "Bacterial small subunit ribosomal RNA", at positions 29 to 506 of the family's 1533-position model. The record is from RNAcentral.